Molecule: long non-coding RNA, 1396 nt
Organism: Drosophila pseudoobscura
Lineage: Eukaryota; Metazoa; Arthropoda; Insecta; Diptera; Drosophilidae
Exons: 2
Source: RefSeq, a predicted model, not a curated record
UCUCCCACUCCUCCAUAUAUCUCAUCCAUCAUGGGGCCGUCCAGUCUCUGCAUUACACUCACACCAAGAGUCGGGGAAAUUCUUGUUAUUCACACUUGCUACCCCUCAGAUAUGGGGGUAUUUAAGGCUUUAGCGUAGGAUCCAUAUGAGAAUAGAAAAUGGGAAUAUCACUAGUAGAUCCCUCAAUGAAUUAUAGAGGAACAAUAGAUACAAUAUAUCUAUUAAUCAUAUAUACAAAUGAGUACAGAGUAUCUGUAGGUGUAGAGUAUCCUCCUCCCCUCCCAUUGCAUCAUUCUUUCCACUUGUUUGGUUUGUUUUUGUUGUGCUUUCGAUGUUACACAAAAUCUAAUUGACGUUUCCUUUUUAUCCUACAGCCACCAAGCCACCACCAAGCAGCAGAGCACCCACUCCCCUCUCCAGACGGACAUUCCCCCACGCCCCAUACAUAUAAACGAAAUUUUGCUUCGUUUUUGUUCUCCAAAAUACAUUCAUACUUUUACGAGUACGAGUAUUCACGGAUUUACGGAAUUGUUACACUUUUAGCCUUGAACUAAGUUGGGAGGGGGCUCUAUUGCUCAGAGAUAUGGAUUAUUGCCAGGCAUUGAAGGUGCAAGAAAGAGAGUCUAGGAUUGAUCUUACCCUCAAGGAUCUGUUAGUUUUGGAUUAACUGUGACCAAAAGGCAUAUCAACGGAAUUCCAAGGGUGUCUACUCCAGACUUUUAUGAUAUUUAUCCUGUCGAUACGAUACGAAUAGAGCACAACAAUAUCUCAUCUAUACAUUCAUUUAUUCAGCUUUUUGAAGGCCACACAGUAACCUAGAACCCUCGUAGAACUGCGAAAUUCAUUGAUCUUUCCCAAUAAUUUCCAUUCAAACAAAACUGUAUUUGGCAAAUGUGUAUAGUAUUUUUCAUUCGUUUAUUUUUGUUUAUCUAAAAAUAUUCGCGAAAUCAAAUAACAAGAAAUAGGACACAAUACGGUAAACAAUUCGUUCAUCAUUGUUUAAAUACUUAAAAUAUACAAAUUUUAAAAAUGUUAUAGACGGCUGUUGAUCAGUUUUACUUUUCCUUGUGUUAAAAUUAAAUUUUCUUUAAAAUAGUAAAUAAUAGAUGUGUGUUUUAAAAUCGGGCAACUGCUCGGGAAACCCCAUCAAUGGACAUUCCGAAUGGCAGGACAUUAUCUGUUGAGUGCUGGAUUUUUUAAACUAUCUUUAAACGAUAUUCCAUGGACCGUAUUAUAACUUAUAAUUCCUUCAGUUCUAUUCGGUUAAAAUCUAUUUUGCUAUCCCACCCAAACGACUCCAGAUAAAAGGCCACGAGCAGUUGCGAAUAUAUAUGGACACCGACACCACUGGUUGACUGCUAUGCUAAUUCUGUUUUGCAGUUUCGAAAACAAUAAA